GAUGAACGCUGGCGGCGUGCCUAAUACAUGCAAGUCGAGCGAACAGAUGAGGAGCUUGCUCCUCUGACGUUAGCGGCGGACGGGUGAGUAACACGUGGAUAACCUACCUAUAAGACUGGGAUAACUUCGGGAAACCGGAGCUAAUACCGGAUAAUAUAUUGAACCGCAUGGUUCAAUAGUGAAAGACGGUUUUGCUGUCACUUAUAGAUGGAUCCGCGCCGCAUUAGCUAGUUGGUAAGGUAACGGCUUACCAAGGCAACGAUGCGUAGCCGACCUGAGAGGGUGUUCGGCCACACUGGAACUGAGACACGGUCCAGACUCCUACGGGAGGCCGCAGUAGGGACUCGUCCGCACAGGGCGAAAGCCUGCCGGAGCAACGCCGCGUGAGUGAUGAAGGUCUUCGGAUCGUAAAACUCUGUUAUUAUGGAAGAACAAAUGUGUAAGUAACUAUGCAUGUCUUGACGGUACCUAAUCAGAAAGCCCCGGCUAACUACGU
Molecule: ribosomal RNA, 496 nt
Filed under: uncultured bacterium
Lineage: Bacteria
Description: partial 16S ribosomal RNA
Rfam family: Bacterial small subunit ribosomal RNA
Source: RNAcentral